UUCAGUCUGCACUUCUGUUUAAUGAUGGCUUUAUAGCAUCUCUCCCUCAUGAUCACCUACCUGAAGGCUGUAAACACUUUUACAUUGUCCAAAUUCAUGUGACAUUUUGUAGCCAUUUUUCACUCCAGUUCAGCUAUUUCCAUUAAUUCUUAAGGAUGUAAAUUCACCAGCAAGUUAUGAUAAGUCCAUUCAUACAAUAACACUGACAGCAUAUGUAGUAAGCUCAUAAGCAUGGUAAUCCACUCUUAUUAUAUCUGUAAAUGUAAUGUGGUAAAGUGCUUAUUAAAUAUCCCAUGCCCAGAACAUGGUGGUGCCAAACAAAGAUAAUAGUAAAUAUGAAAAUCAACCUUUUCUAGAAACCUCACCGUAGGUUGUGGAUGGUUUUCAGUAACUGCAUCAAGUUUUACAAAUGCAAUACAAUUUUCCCAACGAAUAAAGGCGUUUUUAGCAGCCAAUUUAUGGCAAAAUUGGAAAUUGGCUUUGAAUUGGGUACUUUGCCUUUCUUUGGGGAUCAAAAACAUUAAUGACAUGAUAUGUGAAAGACUUUGAACCUAUGUAUCUAUGUAGAAACAUAGAAACAUAGAAUGUGACGGCAGAUAAGAACCAUUCGGCCCAUCUAGUCUGCUCAAUUUUCUAAAUACUUUCAUUAGUCCAUAGCCUUAUCUUAUAGUUAGGAUAGCCUUAUGCCUAUCCCACGCAUGCUUAAACUCCUUUACUGUGUCAACCUCUACCACUUCAGCUGGAAGGCUAUCCCAUGCAUCCACUACCCUCUCAGUAAAGUAAUACUUCCUGAUAUUAUUUUUAAACCUUUGUCCCUCUAAUUUAAGACUAUGUGCUCUUGUUGUGGUAGUUUUUCUUCUUUUAAAUAUAGUCUCCUCCUUUACUGUGUUGAUUCCCUUUAUAUAUUUAAAUGUUUCUAUCAUAUCCCCCCUGUCUCGUCUUUCCUCCAAGCUAUACAUGUUAAGAUCCUUUAACCUUUCCUGGUAAGUUUUAUCCCGC
This is a non-coding RNA of Pelobates cultripes (western spadefoot toad), 999 nucleotides long. The record is from the annotation of a GenBank genome assembly. NCBI's taxonomy places the organism in Eukaryota, Metazoa, Chordata, Amphibia, Anura, Pelobatidae.